This is a long non-coding RNA of Apis dorsata (giant honeybee), 333 nucleotides long. RefSeq lists it as uncharacterized. The record is from RefSeq and is a predicted model, not a curated record. Lineage: Eukaryota; Metazoa; Arthropoda; Insecta; Hymenoptera; Apidae. The transcript has 3 exons.
CAUAUAUAUAUAUAUACAUAUACAUAUGUAUACGUUAUAAUGCAAAGGUCAUAGCUCCCGUGAGAAACGCUCUGCUGCGACCUUCGCACUAAAAAGGAAUGUCUUCUAAGUCGAAAGUGAAGUUCGAUUGGAAAGAGAAACCGGACAGGGAGAAGGGUAUAAGAGAGCAAUUGAGCAAGAAUUUGAAAGAAAAAAAGAAACGAAAAUAAGAUAAAUAAAAUAAAAUCAAAUCUUUGGCUUUAAAUGUUGAGCUGGAGCCGGCGGAGGUGGUGGUUUUUUGUUGUAAAAAGGAGCUGGCGUAUUCGAGUAAGGCUUCCCAUCGGGGGGCAACAG